This 496-nucleotide ribosomal RNA is filed under the name uncultured bacterium. RNAcentral's name for it is "partial 16S ribosomal RNA". It matches the Rfam family "Bacterial small subunit ribosomal RNA", at positions 29 to 507 of the family's 1533-position model. The record is from RNAcentral.
AUGAACGCUGGCGGCGUGCCUAAUACAUGCCAGUCGCGCGAACAGACGAGGAGCUUGCUCCUCUGACGUUAGCGGCGGACGGGUGAGUAACACGUGGAUAACCUACCUAUAAGACUGGGAUAACUUCGGGAAACCGGAGCUAAUACCGGAUAAUAUAUUGAACCGCCUGGUUCAAUAGUGAAAGACGGUUUUGCUGUCACUUAUAGAUGGAUCCGCGCCGCAUUAGCUAGUUGGUAAGGUAACGGCUUACCAAGGCAACGAUGCGUAGCCGACCUGAGAGGGUGAUCGGCCACACUGGAACUGAGACACGGUCCAGACUCCUACGGGAGGCAGCAGUAGGGAAUCUUCCGCAAUGGGCGAAAGCUUGACGGAGCAACGCUGCGUGAGUGAUGAAGGUCUUCGGAUCGUAAAACUCUGUUAUUAGGGAAGAACAAAUGUGUAAGUAACUAUGCACGUCUUGACGGUACCUAAUCAGAAAGCCACGGCUAACUACGUG